This 74-nucleotide transfer RNA is filed under the name Usnea mutabilis. RNAcentral's name for it is "tRNA-Met". It matches the Rfam family "tRNA". From Rfam's summary of the family: Transfer RNA (tRNA) molecules are approximately 80 nucleotides in length. Their secondary structure includes four short double-helical elements and three loops (D, anti-codon, and T loops). The record is from RNAcentral. Lineage: Eukaryota; Fungi; Ascomycota; Lecanoromycetes; Lecanorales; Parmeliaceae.
GGGGCCAUAGCAUAAUUGGUCAAUGCUCUUAAUUCAUGCUUAAGUAAAUUAAGGUUCGAAUCCUUAUGGCCUUA